Gallus gallus (chicken) is the source of this 332-nucleotide long non-coding RNA. The record is from Ensembl. Lineage: Eukaryota; Metazoa; Chordata; Aves; Galliformes; Phasianidae.
GGCGGGGCUAAAGGGCUUAAUCCUCGUGGCCCGAAUUAGGAUAGGAUAACAGCAGCCGCGGCAACAACCAAUCAGAAGGCGCGAUGCAGAUAGCGGUUCUCAAGCCGCCAAUGGGCGGGCGAGGCUCGGAGUUGGGGGAAUGCUAUCAGCUGCUGCAUUUGACGAAAGCUGCAGGUACACCGCUCUCCCUGUCUUAUAAUUGCAAGAGAAAGAGGACACACAUUAAAGUGUGUGGAGGAGGCAAUCCCAGCGUCACAGAGGACGUGGGAGCUGCUGCUAUAGGUGCUCCUGCCCGUCUUCUGCUUGUUGUGGGACUGUUCGGUGCUCUGGAG